UACGAAGGGGGCUAGCGUUGCUCGGAAUCACUGGGCGUAAAGCGCACGUAGGCGGAUCUUUAAGUCGAACGUGAAAUCCCCGGGCUCAACCCGGGAACUGCGUCCGAUACUGGCAGGCUUGAAUCCGGGAGAGGGAUGCGGAAUUCCAGGUGUAGCGGUGAAAUGCGUAGAUAUCUGGAGGAACACCGGUGGCGAAGGCGGCAUCCUGGACCGGUAUUGACGCUGAGGCGCGAAAGCCAGGGGGGGCAAACGAG
This 254-nucleotide ribosomal RNA is filed under the name uncultured bacterium. RNAcentral describes it as "partial 16S ribosomal RNA". It matches the Rfam family "Bacterial small subunit ribosomal RNA", at positions 524 to 776 of the family's 1533-position model. The record is from RNAcentral.